Molecule: ribosomal RNA, 403 nt
Filed under: Acanthamoeba sp.
Lineage: Eukaryota; Discosea; Longamoebia; Acanthamoebidae
Description: SSU rRNA
Rfam family: Eukaryotic small subunit ribosomal RNA (bases 1-341)
Source: RNAcentral
UUUUCUGCCACCGAAUACAUUAGCAUGGGAUAAUGGAAUAGGACCCUGUCCUCCUAUUUUCAGUUGGUUUUGGCAGCGCGAGGACUAGGGUAAUGAUUAAUAGGGAUAGUUGGGGGCAUUAAUAUUUAAUUGUCAGAGGUGAAAUUCUUGGAUUUAUGAAAGAUUAACUUCUGCGAAAGCAUCUGCCAAGGAUGUUUUCAUUAAUCAAGAACGAAAGUUAGGGGAUCGAAGACGAUCAGAUACCGUCGUAGUCUUAACCAUAAACGAUGCCGACCAGCGAUUAGGAGACGUUGAAUACAAAACACCACCAUCGGCGCGGUCGUCCUUGGCGUCUCGGUCCUUCACGGGGCCGGGGCGCGGGGGCGGCUUAGCCCGGUGGCACCGGUGAAUGACUCCCUAGCAG